UGGGGAAUUUUGGACAAUGGGCGCAAGCCUGAUCCAGCAAUGCCGCGUGAGUGAAGAAGGCCUUCGGGUUGUAAAGCUCUUUUGUCAGGGAAGAAACGACACCCUCUAAUACAGGGUGUUAAUGACGGUACCUGAAGAAUAAGCACCGGCUAACUACGUGCCAGCAGCCGCGGUAAUACGUAGGGUGCAAGCGUUAAUCGGAAUUACUGGGCGUAAAGCGUGCGCAGGCGGUUUUGUAAGACUGACGUGAAAUCCCCGGGCUCAACCUGGGAAUGGCGUUGGUGACUGCAAGGCUAGAGUUUGGCAGAGGGGGGUAGAAUUCCACGUGUAGCAGUGAAAUGCGUAGAUAUGUGGAGGAACACCGAUGGCGAAGGCAGCCCCCUGGGUCAAAACUGACGCUCAUGCACGAAAGCGUGGGGAGCAAACAG
Molecule: ribosomal RNA, 428 nt
Filed under: uncultured bacterium
Lineage: Bacteria
Description: bacterial SSU rRNA
Rfam family: Bacterial small subunit ribosomal RNA
Source: RNAcentral